RNAcentral lists this ribosomal RNA (460 nucleotides) under uncultured bacterium. Its description in RNAcentral is "partial 16S ribosomal RNA". It matches the Rfam family "Bacterial small subunit ribosomal RNA", at positions 338 to 795 of the family's 1533-position model. The record is from RNAcentral.
CCUACGGGAGGCAGCAGUGAGGAAUAUUGGUCAAUGGACGCAAGUCUGAACCAGCCAUGCCGCGUGCAGGAAGACGGCUCUAUGAGUUGUAAACUGCUUUUGUACGAGGGUAAACGCAGAUACGCGUAUCUGUCUGAAAGUAUCGUACGAAUAAGGAUCGGCUAACUCCGUGCCAGCAGCCGCGGUAAUACGGAGGAUUCAAGCGUUAUCCGGAUUUAUUGGGUUUAAAGGGUGCGAAGGCGGUCGGAUAAGUUAGAGGUGAAAUCCCGAGGCUCAACUUCGGAAUUGCCUCUGAUACGGUGCGGCUAGAGAGUAGUUGCGGUAGGCGGAAUGUAUGGUGUAGCGGUGAAAUGCUUAGAGAUCAUACAGAACACCGAUGGCGAAGGCAGCUUACCAGGCUACUUCUGACGUUGAGGCACGAAAGCGUGGGGAGCAAACAGGAUUAGAUACCCCGGUAGUC